CGACCGGCGCACGGGUGAGUAACACGUAUCCAACCUGCCCUUUACUCGGGGAUAGCCUUCCGAAAGAAAGAUUAAUACAAGAUGGCAUCAUGAGUCCGCAUGUUCACAUGAUUAAAGGUAUUCCGGUAGACGAUGGGGAUGCGUUCCAUUAGAUAGUAGGCGGGGUAACGGCCCACCUAGUCUUCGAUGGAUAGGGGUUCUGAGAGGAAGGUCCCCCACAUUGGAACUGAGACACGGUCCAA
This 242-nucleotide ribosomal RNA is filed under the name uncultured bacterium. RNAcentral describes it as "partial 16S ribosomal RNA". It matches the Rfam family "Bacterial small subunit ribosomal RNA", at positions 92 to 334 of the family's 1533-position model. The record is from RNAcentral.